This 429-nucleotide ribosomal RNA is filed under the name Bacteroidota bacterium. RNAcentral describes it as "Bacteroidetes bacterium partial 16S ribosomal RNA". It matches the Rfam family "Bacterial small subunit ribosomal RNA", at positions 355 to 776 of the family's 1533-position model. Lineage: Bacteria; Pseudomonadati; Bacteroidota. The record is from RNAcentral.
UAGGGAAUCUUCGGCAAUGGGGGGAACCCUGACCGAGCAACGCCGCGUGAGUGAAGAAGGUUUUCGGAUCGUAAAGCUCUGUUGUUAAGGAAGAACGAGUGUGAGAAUGGAAAGUUCAUACUGUGACGGUACUUAACCAGAAAGGGACGGCUAACUACGUGCCAGCAGCCGCGGUAAUACGUAGGUCCCGAGCGUUGUCCGGAUUUAUUGGGCGUAAAGCGAGCGCAGGCGGUUAGAUAAGUCUGAAGUUAAAGGCAGUGGCUCAACCAUUGUAGGCUUUGGAAACUGUUUAACUUGAGUGCAGAAGGGGAGAGUGGAAUUCCAUGUGUAGCGGUGAGAUGCGUAGAUAUAUGGAGGAACACCGGUGGCGAAAGCGGCUCUCUGGUCUGUAACUGACGCUGAGGCUAGAAAGCGUGGGGAGCGAACAGG